GUCACACAACUGUCAUACUCAAGAAAUAGAGUAUCCCCUCCUCCUACUAGACGAUCUUGACUUCCUCCCAGUCCCAGGCUUAUGUUGAUUACCAUUCGCCGGACCCGAAAACAUUCCGAAUUUCUUCGAAAUCAAAGUCAAAAACGUCUUCCCGUUCCCAGACUUAUCCAUCAUCCCUUGCUUCAUGCAAACUUGUUCUUUCUCCAGGUCACUUAGCCUUACUCGCAUUCUCGAAAUCUCCAACUUCAGAUCGCGGUUCUCUCUUCUCAGAGACGCGUAUGUGUCACGUGGAGACAUGGGUGCACUCGGUGCACCGCUGCUGCAGAUCUUUUGUGACAUGUAGCCGGACAGAGCUGAAGGUCCGGUCAUGGUGAUGGCGGACUUUAGACGAAGCUGUUCAUAGUAGAGCACCCGAAUAGCCAUGUGGGCUGGGAGACGGUCGUUUUGUGCUGCAUGGUUACAUGCUUCUUGAGAUAGCUUUUCACAGUCUAUGAACUUGCAAAUUUUCUUGCGCACGUGUUCUGUCAGCAUUGGAUUUACCUUCAGAUAGAUAUCGACAGCUCUAUAAAGUCCAUCAUCGAUAACCCGAGCAUAAUCAGGCAGUACUUCAAUCAUAGCAAUAAACUUCUGAAAACUCAAGUACGGAUCAGGAGCAAUUUCCGCUAGAUAUGCAUCAACAAGCCGUCCAACUUUUAACAACGAACUGUGGCUAGGAGAACCCAUAUCGCCUUCUGAUUCAUACCCGCAAUCUUCUUCAUCUUCCUGCUCGAUUAUUUGGAGGA
This 782-nucleotide long non-coding RNA is filed under the name Helianthus annuus (common sunflower). RNAcentral's name for it is "hypothetical non coding rna". Lineage: Eukaryota; Viridiplantae; Streptophyta; Magnoliopsida; Asterales; Asteraceae. The record is from RNAcentral.